Long non-coding RNA from Dermochelys coriacea (leatherback sea turtle), 192 nucleotides. RefSeq lists it as uncharacterized. Lineage: Eukaryota; Metazoa; Chordata; Testudines; Dermochelyidae. The transcript is spliced from 3 exons. The record is from RefSeq and is a predicted model, not a curated record.
GUCUCGGUCGCCCAUGCUGACCGUAGGGAGCUCCUCCAAGAGCACUCUGCAAGCGGCAGGAUCGGUCGGAUCCGGGGAGAAAAGGCGUGCGUAGAAGGCCCGGGCCCUCCCGCACAUCUCCGCCGGAUCUGUGAGGGGAGUGCCAUCCUCCGCGAGGAGGCAAGUGACAUCCUUCUUAGCCCCCCUCUUUUU